GUCACAUGGGCGUCCAGGCGGAGGGACUGGCCCUGGAUGUGCCAGCACCGGGUGGCAGGAGGUUGAGAGCCAUCGGGGAUGGCCAACCUGCUCAUCCUCACCCAGUCAGAUGGGUCAUGCAGCUGCUGUGAGCGCUGGGCUGGAAGCCGCACCAGGACAGACAGCUGCUUGCUUUCCUACCGACUCCAGAGUUCAGAACCGGAUCCCCACCCAGGACCCAGCUCCAGCGUGUCGGCCACAGGAGCCUUCCCAGGCCCCCAAGGUCUUCAGAAAGAACUCUGAGAUGGGACGCUCCCGUGACCACAGAAGUGCCAAGUGCCGACGGCACGGAACCCCCUGGCUCCUGGGUGCCGCGGAGGCUGCAUCCGCACCCGAAGUCCACUCGCGCCUCCUCCCGGCACCUACAUGGCCCAUCUCAGCUUUAAAAGUACCAGGAUUCCAACUCAGAAACUCUGCUCGCCGGGAACACAGGGUGUAUUUCUUUUCCAGGAAGAUGUUUUAAAAUGUCAAAAAUAGUGAAUGGCUUAAA
Long non-coding RNA from Myotis myotis, 529 nucleotides. RefSeq lists it as uncharacterized. The transcript is spliced from 3 exons. NCBI's taxonomy places the organism in Eukaryota, Metazoa, Chordata, Mammalia, Chiroptera, Vespertilionidae. The record is from RefSeq and is a predicted model, not a curated record.